Long non-coding RNA from Dermochelys coriacea (leatherback sea turtle), 1067 nucleotides. RefSeq lists it as uncharacterized. NCBI's taxonomy places the organism in Eukaryota, Metazoa, Chordata, Testudines, Dermochelyidae. The transcript is spliced from 2 exons. The record is from RefSeq and is a predicted model, not a curated record.
GAAUUCUAAUCCAUUCCUUGAAAGUGUUCGCAACCCCUCCCAGCUUGGUGUCAACCAUAAAUUUUAUAAGCUACUCUUCACUCCAUUAUGCAAGUCAAUAAUGAAAAUGCUGAAAAGUACUGGAGCCAGGACAGACCCCUAUGGCACCCCACCAGAUAAGUCAUUUUGAAUGUGGCCCAUUGAUUACUACUUUUGAGCAUAGGCUUUCAACCAGUUAUGCAUCCACUUAUAUUAUAUUAAUGGCAAGAGGAGAAGGACAAAAACCUUAUUUGUCAAAUCAAAAUGAGGAAGAUGUGGCUGGUAAUAGGUAGCACUUAAGUGUUACUUUUCCCCCUUGUAUGUAUAAUUGGUCCUUUUCUGAUUGCAUUUUCCUUUACAGCUACGAAGUUUUUUAAGAUGGUUUUGAAGCUGUUUCUUUGUGGUGUGUUUAGAUAAAUUCAAUGGCAAGUUAUACCAAAUUAUUUGAUUUUGACUAGCAGAUAUAAGAUCUGCAUUGCCUUUAAAAACAAAAGAAAUGAAAUGUGAGGAGACUAGAUACUUUUGUUGCAGUGCAUAAAGCAAAACUGGUAAGCUCCUGUUCUAGAUACAAACCAGCUUCUUUGUUGUCUGAAUGUGAAUUGUAAGCACAUACCUCUAGGGUUGAACAGUGCUGAACUUCCCACUCUCCUGGGCGCAAAGAGGUGAAAUGCCCAUAUAGUCACUGCAGCACUCAGCAGAUCUUGGCAGCAUAGCAACUCUGCCCUAGCAAAACACACUGGGGUACUGGUUCCGAGUAUGGCUUCAGAGAAUCUGUCACGUAGUCCAGUGAUUCUUAACCAGAGGUCCAGGGCCCGCUAGGGGCCACAAGCAGGUUUCAGCGUGUCCACCAAGUAGGGCCAGUGUUAGACUCGCUGGGGCCCCAGGCAGAAAGCUGAGGCCCCACUACAUGAAUUUGAAGCCUGGACCCCCACCACCUAGGGCUGAAGCCGAACCCUGAGCAAUGUAGCUUUGUGGGGGGCCCUGUGCCAUGGGGCCCCAGGCAAUUAUCCUGCUUGCUACCCUAAUGCCAGUCCUGGCUUUUAUAUGCA